CCUACGGGAGGCAGCAGUGAGGAAUAUUGCACAAUGGGCGAAAGCCUGAUGCAGCAACGCCGCGUGAGCGAUGAAGGCCUUCGGGUCGUAAAGCUCUGUCCUCAAGGAAGUUAAUGACGGUACUUGAGGAGGAAACCCCGGCUAACUACGUGCCAGCAGCCGCGGUAAUACGUAGGGGUCUAGCGUGAUCCUGAAUUACUGGGCGAAAAGGGUGCGUAGGUGGUUUCUUAAGUCAGAGGUGAAAGGCUACGGAUAAACCGUAGUAAGCAGUUGAAACUGGGGAACUUGAGUGCAGGAGAGGAGAGUGGAAUUCCUAGUGUAGCGGUGAAAUGCGUAGAUAUUAGGAGGAACACCAGUCGCGAAGGCGGGUCUCUGGACUGUAACUGACGCUGAGGCACGAAAGCGUGGGGAGCAAACAGGAUUAGAUACCCGGGUAGUC
Molecule: ribosomal RNA, 439 nt
Filed under: uncultured bacterium
Lineage: Bacteria
Description: partial 16S ribosomal RNA
Rfam family: Bacterial small subunit ribosomal RNA
Source: RNAcentral